GAGGCACGCGCGGGAGAGUGUAGCGGGCCACGGCCCGCCGCCGCCGAAGGAGCAACCGCCCCGGAAUCUCUCAGGUCACAGGACCGCGCGAGCCGA
This 96-nucleotide non-coding RNA is filed under the name Sphingomonas sp. RNAcentral describes it as "Glycine sequence". It matches the Rfam family "Glycine riboswitch aptamer". Rfam says of the family: This family represents the bacterial glycine riboswitch. Glycine riboswitches usually consist of two metabolite-binding aptamers domains with similar structures in tandem. Lineage: Bacteria; Pseudomonadati; Pseudomonadota; Alphaproteobacteria; Sphingomonadales; Sphingomonadaceae. The record is from RNAcentral.